UCAAGCGAAUAAGUGCAUGUGGUGGAUGCCUUGGCGAUCACAGGCGAUGAAGGACGUAGUAGCUUGCGAAAAGCUGCGGGGAGCUGGCAAACGAGCUUUGAUCCGCAGAUGUCCGAAUGGGGAAACCCGGCCCGUAUGGGUCAUCCCUUGCUGAAUACAUAGGCAAGGGAGGCGAACGCAGUGAACUGAAACAUCUAAGUAGCUGCAGGAAAAGAAAUCAACCGAGAUUCCCAAAGUAGUGGCGAGCGAAAUGGGAACAGCCUUGUACUCUUUAGCAGUAUUGUUAGCGGAACGGAAUGGAAAGUCCGGCCAUAGUGGGUGAUAGCCCCGUACGCGAAAACAGUAUUGUGGAACUAGGUGUACGACAAGUAGGGCGGGACACGUGAAAUCCUGUCUGAAGAUGGGGGGACCAUCCUCCAAGGCUAAAUACUCGUGAUCGACCGAUAGUGAACCAGUACCGUGAGGGAAAGGCGAAAAGAACCCCGGGAGGGGAGUGAAAUAGAUCCUGAAACCGCAUGCAUACAAACAGUCGGAGCCUGGAAACGGGUGACGGCGUACCUUUUGUAUAAUGGGUCAGCGACUUACAUUCAGUGGCAAGCUUAACCGAUUAGGGAAGGCGUAGCGAAAGCGAGUCCGAAUAGGGCGUUCAGUCGCUGGGUGUAGACCCGAAACCAAGUGAUCUAUCCAUGGCCAGGUUGAAGGUGCGGUAACACGUACUGGAGGACCGAACCCACUAACGUUGAAAAGUUAGGGGAUGAGCUGUGGAUAGGGGUGAAAGGCUAAACAAACUUGGAAAUAGCUGGUUCUCUCCGAAAACUAUUUAGGUAGUGCCUCGUGUCUCACCUUCGGGGGUAGAGCACUGUCAUGGUUGGGGGGUCUAUUGCUGAUUACCCCGCCAUAGCAAACUCCGAAUACCGAAGAGUGCAAUCACGGGAGACAGACAUCGGGUGCUAACGUCCGGUGUCAAGAGGGAAACAACCCAGACCGCCAGCUAAGGUCCCUAAGAUUGGCUAAGUGGGAAACGAAGUGGGAAGGCUAAAACAGUCAGGAGGUUGGCUUAGAAGCAGCCACCCUUUAAAGAAAGCGUAAUAGCUCACUGAUCGAGUCGUCCUGCGCGGAAGAUGUAACGGGGCUAAGCCAGUCACCGAAGCUGCGGAUGCACGUAAGUGCAUGGUAGGAGAGCGUUCUGUAAGCCUGUGAAGGUGUCUUGUAAAGGAUGCUGGAGGUAUCAGAAGUGCGAAUGCUGACAUGAGUAGCGAUAAAGGGGGUGAAAGGCCCCCUCGCCGUAAGCCCAAGGUUUCCUACGCAACGUUCAUCGGCGUAGGGUGAGUCGGCCCCUAAGGCGAGGCAGAGAUGCGUAGCUGAUGGGAAGCAGGUUAAUAUUCCUGCACCGUCGUAUGAUGCGAUGGGGGGACGGAUCGCGGAAGGUUGUCCGGGUGUUGGAAGUCCCGGUCCCUACAUUGGAGAUGGCACUUAGGCAAAUCCGGGUGCGUGAUUCAAGGGUGUGGGGCGAGCGACGUUAGGUCGCGAAGCAAUUGGAAGUGGUUCCAAGAAAAGCCUCUAAGCUUCAGUCAUACGAGACCGUACCGCAAACCGACACAGGUGGGCGAGAUGAGUAUUCUAAGGCGCUUGAGAGAACUCGGGAGAAGGAACUCGGCAAAUUGGUACCGUAACUUCGGGAUAAGGUACGCCCUUGUAGUUUGACUGGCUCGCGCCAGAAGGAUGAAGGGGUUGCAAUAAAAUGGUGGCUGCGACUGUUUAAUAAAAACACAGCACUCUGCAAACACGAAAGUGGACGUAUAGGGUGUGACGCCUGCCCGGUGCCGGAAGAUUAAAUGAUGGGGUGCAAGCUCUUGAUUGAAGUCCCGGUAAACGGCGGCCGUAACUAUAACGGUCCUAAGGUAGCGAAAUUCCUUGUCGGGUAAGUUCCGACCUGCACGAAUGGCGUAACGAUGGCCACACUGUCUCCUCCCGAGACUCAGCGAAGUUGAAGUGUUUGUGAUGAUGCAAUCUCCCCGCGGCUAGACGGAAAGACCCCAUGAACCUUUACUGUAGCUUUGCAUUGGACUUUGAACCGAUCUGUGUAGGAUAGGUGGGAGGCUUUGAAACCGGGACGCUAGUUUCGGUGGAGCCGACCUUGAAAUACCACCCUGGUUUGUUUGAGGUUCUAACCUUGGCCCGUGAAUCCGGGUCGGGGACAGUGCAUGGUAGGCAGUUUGACUGGGGCGGUCUCCUCCCAAAGUGUAACGGAGGAGUUCGAAGGUACGCUUGGUACGGUCGGACAUCGUACCUAAAGUGCAAUGGCAAAAGCGUGCUUAACUGCGAGACCGACAAGUCGAGCAGGUGCGAAAGCAGGACAUAGUGAUCCGGUGGUUCUGUAUGGAAGGGCCAUCGCUCAACGGAUAAAAGGUACUCUGGGGAUAACAGGCUGAUACCGCCCAAGAGUUCAUAUCGACGGCGGUGUUUGGCACCUCGAUGUCGGCUCAUCUCAUCCUGGGGCUGUAGCCGGUCCCAAGGGUAUGGCUGUUCGCCAUUUAAAGAGGUACGUGAGCUGGGUUUAAAACGUCGUGAGACAGUUUGGUCCCUAUCUGCCGUGGGCGUUGGAAUCUUGACGGGGGCUGCUCCUAGUACGAGAGGACCGGAGUGGACGUACCGCUGGUGUACCUGUUGUCUCGCCAGAGGCAUCGCAGGGUAGCUAUGUACGGAAGAGAUAACCGCUGAAAGCAUCUAAGCGGGAAACUCGCCUGAAGAUGAGGAUUCCCUGGAGACUUGAUCUCCCUGAAGGGUCGUUCGAGACCAGGACGUUGAUAGGCUGGGUGUGGAAGCGCAGUAAUGCGUUCAGCUAACCAGUACUAAUUGCCCGUGCGGCUUGAUCC
RNAcentral lists this ribosomal RNA (2876 nucleotides) under Ralstonia solanacearum. RNAcentral's name for it is "23S ribosomal RNA". It matches the Rfam family "Bacterial large subunit ribosomal RNA". The record is from RNAcentral. RNAcentral also lists the same sequence under 1 other name. Lineage: Bacteria; Pseudomonadati; Pseudomonadota; Betaproteobacteria; Burkholderiales; Burkholderiaceae.